AAAGUCAGAGUUGGUUUUUGUUCCAGCAGUGAAUGGAGAUGCAGCACUGUGAUGCUUUUGACUACUGGGGCAAAGGGACCGAAGUCACAGUAACAGAUACUACAACUGCAUCACCGACUCUGUUCCCUUUGGUUCAGUGCAGUUCUGGGGCUGCAGAUCAAAUCACUGUUGGCUGUCUUGCACAAGACUUCUACCCAAAGGGUCUUACUUUUCAGUGGACAGGUGACAGUGGGCCCAUCCAGACGGCUGUACAAUAUCCUCUAGCUGAGAAAAACAACAAAUAUACAAGAGUCAGUCUGCUCACUGUGUCAAAAUCUGACUGGGAUUCAAAGAGCUAUAAUUGUUCUGUGACUCACCCCGGAGGCUCCAGAACCGUGAAACUUUUAAAAGCUCCUUCUUCCACACCCACAAAGGAUCCAUUGCCUCCAAAGGGAGCUGGAGUUGUUUUAAUGGAACUGAAGCAAGUGUCAAGUGUCAAAGAAAUCUUUAACAACAACCAGGCAGUGUUGAAGUGUAUCAUUUCUGGAGCGGACCAGAAUGUGUUGAAUCAAAUUCAAAUCAGUUGGCAAAUCGAUGGAUCCCCUGAGACCAACAACAUCCAAACAACACAGUUGGCAGGCAGCAGAGUCAGCACAAUGAAUGUUACCCGCGAUGAGUGGAUAAGAUUUGGCAAGGUGCGCUGUUCUGCCACGAAAGACGACAUAACACUAGUUUUUAGAGAGCUGACUCUCCCCAAAGGAGAGCCAAAAGUAAGAGUCCACGUCCUCCCAGAGGUGGACAUAGAAAAUGAGGUCACUUUGGUGUGUCUGGUCUCCAAUCUGGUGAAGCAGGAUUACUACAUCACCUGGUUAGAAAAAGAUGGAACAAAGUCCUCCAACUAUGCUGAAGGCAUUAACUUCCCCCCAGUGAAGUCCCAACAAGGAUACUCAGUUGCAAGUGUUUACACCACCACCAAAGACAAGUGGGACAAGUCCUACACUUUCUCUUGCCAGACAUUUCCUGGUAGUGGCGAAAACCCUACAAAAUCCACGGCAUCUAAGGCCCACAAUAACGCCGUUGAAUAUUUUACUCCAGAAUCAAACCUGAGUUUUGCUCUGAGCUGCACAGAUGAUGCAUUUGAGGAGGAAGAGUACAGCAGCCUUUGGUCCACAGCCUUCUCCUUCAUAAUCCUCUUCAUAUCCUCUCUUCUCUAUUGCAUGAUAAUCAGCCUGGUCAAGAUGAAGAGAACAUAAAGGACGAGAUGGAUGCACAGCAUGAUAACGACAGAUCUUCAUUUGUUUUUUUGUCUUUUUUAUCUAAUUUUAAAAACCAUGUACAUAAUUGACAAUCUACCUUAUAUUUGCCAGAUAAAAUGGUCAUCACAUGUAAUUAUUAAGUCAUGAAAAUGGAUUUAUCUUUAACCUGGAGAAGAAAUAAUAAAUACAAUUGCAAUUCUUAAUCAUUUACUGUGUAUGAAUCAGGCUCAU
Molecule: non-coding RNA, 1466 nt
Organism: Etheostoma cragini (Arkansas darter)
Lineage: Eukaryota; Metazoa; Chordata; Actinopteri; Perciformes; Percidae
Source: the annotation of a RefSeq genome assembly